RNAcentral lists this ribosomal RNA (451 nucleotides) under uncultured bacterium. RNAcentral describes it as "bacterial SSU rRNA". It matches the Rfam family "Bacterial small subunit ribosomal RNA", at positions 354 to 796 of the family's 1533-position model. The record is from RNAcentral.
GUGGGGAAUAUUGGACAAUGGGGGGAACCCUGAUCCAGCCAUGCCGCGUGUGUGAAGAAGGCCUUUUGGUUGUAAAGCACUUUAAGCGAGGAGGAGGCUACCGUGAUUAAUACUCUUGGAUAGUGGACGUUACUCGCCGAAUAAGCACCGGCUAACUCUGUGCCAGCAGCCGCGGUAAUACAGAGGGUGCAAGCGUUAAUCGGAUUUACUGGGCGUAAAGCGCGCGUAGGUGGCCAAUUAAGUCAAAUGUGAAAUCCCCGAGCUUAACUUGGGAAUUGCAUUCGAUACUGGUUGGCUAGAGUAUGGGAGAGGAUGGUAGAAUUCCAGGUGUAGCGGUGAAAUGCGUAGAGAUCUGGAGGAAUACCGAUGGCGAAGGCAGCCAUCUGGCCUAAUACUGACACUGAGGUGCGAAAGCAUGGGGAGCAAACAGGAUUAGAUACCCGGGUAGUCC